GCAGGGUGAAGGUGCAGUAACAUGCACUGGAGGCCCGAACCGUUGAGCGUUGAAAAGCUCUCGGAUGACCUGUGCCUAGGGGUGAAAGGCCAAUCAAACUUGCUGAUAGCUGGUUCUCCUCGAAAUCUAUUUAGGUAGAGCGUUAGAUGAAUACCAUCGGGGGUAGAGCACUGGAUGGGCUAGGGGGUCUCACCGACUUACCAAACCUAACCAAACUCCGAAUACCGAUGAGUAAUAUCUGGCAGACACACUACGGGUGCUAAGGUCCGUAGUGGAAAGGGAAACAGCCCUGACCGCCAGCUAAGGUCCCUAAGUUAUGGCUAAGUGGGAAAGGAUGUGAGAGUGCAUAGACAACCAGGAUGUUGGCUUAGAAGCAGCCAUCAUUUAAAGAAAGCGUAACAGCUCACUGGUCAAGCGCUCUUGCGCCGAAAAUGUACCGGGGCUAAAGCCAUACACCGAAGCUGCGGAUGCACAUUUAUGUGCGUGGUAGCGGAGCGUUCUGUAAGCCUGUGAAGGGUGACCCGCGAGGGCACUUGGAGGUAUCAGAAGUGAGAAUGCUGACAUGAGUAGCGAUAAAGAGGGUGAGAGACCCUCUCGCCGAAAGACCAAGGGUUCCUGCGUAAAGCUAAUCUGCGCAGGGUUAGUCGGCCCCUAAGGCGAGGGCGAAAGCCGUAGUCGAUGGGAAACAGGUUAAUAUUCCUGUACCUGGAGGUAGUGACGAAUCCCGUGUGUUGUUUACCCUUAUUGGAUUGGGUAGGCCGCGAAGGGGUUCCAGGAAAUAGCUCCUCCAUUAUAGACCGUACCCCAAACCGACACAGGUGGUCUGGUAGAGUAUACCAAGGCGCUUGAGAGAACUAUGUUGAAGGAACUCGGCAAAAUGCUCCCGUAAGUUCGCGAGAAGGGAGACCUCCACUUAGGCAACUAGGUGGGGGUGGCACAGACCAGGGGGUGGCGACUGUUUACUAAAAACACAGGGCUCUGCGAAGUCGCAAGACGACGUAUAGGGUCUGACGCCUGCCCGGUGCUGGAAGGUUAAAUGGAGUGGUGCAAGCUGCGAAAUGAAGCCCCAGUAAACGGCGGCCGUAAC
This 1087-nucleotide ribosomal RNA is filed under the name Conticribra weissflogii. Its description in RNAcentral is "partial Bacterial large subunit ribosomal RNA". It matches the Rfam family "Bacterial large subunit ribosomal RNA", at positions 740 to 1940 of the family's 2925-position model. Lineage: Eukaryota; Bacillariophyta; Thalassiosirophyceae; Thalassiosirales; Thalassiosiraceae. The record is from RNAcentral.